UAUGAAUUGGAUCGAUACCAUGUACAUUUUACAUCUCUAGGCUGCGGGCUGCCGUGCGCCACCGCAGGAGAGAGCAGACGACUAUAUAAAAUGUCGAUAUAUAUUCUUACCUUAUCAGACACAGCUAACCCAGUAUCCAUAUUAUACUCUCGUCUAAAUAUGCGUGGCUUUGCACUGGAGGUGUUCUUCGGCGUGUGUAUGACAAGUUCUAACGAAUUUUGGCAUUCCAUUACAAAGAAACACAUGAGAAUCGGACCAUCUCCGAAAAUACGUGGUACUAUUGUAGCAUGGCCUAUUCUAACGCCCAGAAUCCAGCAGCCCAUGCACGAUCCUCUCCUCCAUGCUGAAGUUUCCGGUGCUGGUCAUCUCCGCGCUGGCCACCGGCGACUCCCCAAGAAGGCUCUCCAUCUCCUCCGGUCUAUGCUGCGCUGGCACCCACGGGUGCUGCUGCUGCAUGGCCUUGGCCAGCACGUCCAGCCUCUCGGCGACAUCUCUCAUGGUCGGCCGCCUCUCGCCGACCAUGUCCAGGCACUGCAGCGCGAGCUCCGCGACCUCCUCGAGCAGCGCGGCGUCGCUGUCGGCCUUGAUGCGGCCGUCGAUGAUAUCCCCGAGCCUGCGCUCCUUCAUGGCGUUCAGGAAGCGCAGCGAGAGGCUCCGCUCGCUCUCGGGGCCUUCCAG
This 678-nucleotide unclassified non-coding RNA is filed under the name Zea mays. Its description in RNAcentral is "misc RNA Zm00001eb375470". The record is from RNAcentral. Lineage: Eukaryota; Viridiplantae; Streptophyta; Magnoliopsida; Poales; Poaceae.